GAUGAACGCUGACAGAAUGCUUAACACAUGCAAGUCGAUGGGGAAGUGGUGCUUGCACCAUGGCAACCAUGGCGGACGGGUGAGUAACGCGUAAGGGACUUACCUGCAGGACUGGGAUAACAGGGGGAAACUCCUGACAAGACCGGAUAAUGUCAUGGAGCUGCAUGGCUUUAUGAUGAAAGGAGACGCCUGCGGAGAGCCUUGCGUCCUAUUAGCUAGUUGGUGAGGUAAUGGCUCACCAAGGCGAAGAUAGGUGGCCGGCCUGAGAGGGUGGACGGCCACAAGGGGACUGAGAUACGGCCCUUACUCCUACGGGAGGCAGCAGUGGGGAAUAUUGGACAAUGGGGGCAACCCUGAUCCAGCAAUUCUGUGUGCACGAAGAAGGUUUUCGGAUUGUAAAGUGCUUUCAGCAGGGAAGAAGUAAGUGACGGUACCUGCAGAAGAAGCGACGGCUAAAUACGU
Molecule: ribosomal RNA, 462 nt
Filed under: uncultured bacterium
Lineage: Bacteria
Description: partial 16S ribosomal RNA
Rfam family: Bacterial small subunit ribosomal RNA
Source: RNAcentral